ACGGGUAGCCGGCCUGAGAGGGUGACCGGCCACACUGGGACUGAGACACGGCCCAGACUCCUACGGGAGGCAGCAGUGGGGAAUAUUGCACAAUGGGCGCAAGCCUGAUGCAGCGACGCCGCGUGAGGGAUGACGGCCUUCGGGUUGUAAACCUCUUUCAGCACGGAAGAAGCGAAAGUGACGGUACGUGCAGAAGAAGCGCCGGCUAACUACGUGCCAGCAGCCGCGGUAAUACGUAGGGCGCAAGCGUUGUCCGGAAUUAUUGGGCGUAAAGAGCUCGUAGGCGGUUUGUCGCGUCUGCUGUGAAAGCCCGGGGCUUAACCCCGGGUGUGCAGUGGGUACGGGCAGACUUGAGUGCAGUAGGGGAGACUGGAACUCCUGGUGUAGCGGUGAAAUGCGCAGAUAUCAGGAAGAACACCGAUGGCGAAGGCAGGUCUCUGGGCUGUUACUGACGCUGAGGAGCGAAAGCAUGGGGAGCGA
Molecule: ribosomal RNA, 480 nt
Filed under: Kocuria sp.
Lineage: Bacteria; Bacillati; Actinomycetota; Actinomycetes; Micrococcales; Micrococcaceae
Description: bacterial SSU rRNA
Rfam family: Bacterial small subunit ribosomal RNA
Source: RNAcentral